This 491-nucleotide ribosomal RNA is filed under the name Didymella pinodes (pea foot rot fungus). RNAcentral's name for it is "SSU rRNA". It matches the Rfam family "Eukaryotic small subunit ribosomal RNA", at positions 73 to 567 of the family's 1831-position model. The record is from RNAcentral. Lineage: Eukaryota; Fungi; Ascomycota; Dothideomycetes; Pleosporales; Didymellaceae.
AUUAUACCGUGAAACUGCGAAUGGCUCAUUAAAUCAGUUAUCGUUUAUUUGAUAGUACCUUACUACUUGGAUAACCGUGGUAAUUCUAGAGCUAAUACAUGCUGAAAACCCCAACUUCGGGAGGGGUGUAUUUAUUAGAUAAAAAACCAACGCCCUUCGGGGCUUCUUGGUGAUUCAUGAUAACUUCACGGAUCGCAUGGCCUUGCGCCGGCGACGGUUCAUUCAAAUUUCUGCCCUAUCAACUUUCGAUGGUAAGGUAUUGGCUUACCAUGGUUUCAACGGGUAACGGGGAAUUAGGGUUCGAUUCCGGAGAGGGAGCCUGAGAAACGGCUACCACAUCCAAGGAAGGCAGCAGGCGCGCAAAUUACCCAAUCCCGACACGGGGAGGUAGUGACAAUAAAUACUGAUACAGGGCUCUUUUGGGUCUUGUAAUUGGAAUGAGUACAAUUUAAACCUCUUAACGAGGAACAAUUGGAGGGCAAGUCUGGUGC